AGGGAGCGUAGGCGGCUGAUUAAGUCAGCGGUGAAAGGUAGCAGCUUAACUGUUUUACAUGCCGUUGAUACUGGUUAGCUUGAGUUGACAGAAGGCAGAUAGAAUUCCUGGUGUAGCGGUGAAAUGCUUAGAGUACCAGGAGGAAUACCGAUUGCGAAGGCAGUCUGCUGCAGUCACACUGACGCUGAGGCUCGAAGGUGCGGGGAUCAAACAGGAUUAGAUACCCUAGU
Molecule: ribosomal RNA, 230 nt
Filed under: uncultured bacterium
Lineage: Bacteria
Description: partial 16S ribosomal RNA
Rfam family: Bacterial small subunit ribosomal RNA
Source: RNAcentral